Molecule: ribosomal RNA, 2895 nt
Filed under: Escherichia albertii
Lineage: Bacteria; Pseudomonadati; Pseudomonadota; Gammaproteobacteria; Enterobacterales; Enterobacteriaceae
Description: bacterial LSU rRNA
Rfam family: Bacterial large subunit ribosomal RNA
Source: RNAcentral
ACUAAGCGUACACGGUGGAUGCCCUGGCAGUCAGAGGCGAUGAAGGACGUGCUAAUCUGCGAAAAGCGUCGGUAAGGUGAUAUGAACCGUUAUAACCGGCGAUGUCCGAAUGGGGAAACCCAGUGUGUUCCGACACACUAUCAUUAACUGAAUCCAUAGGUUAAUGAGGCGAACCGGGGGAACUGAAACAUCUAAGUACCCCGAGGAAAAGAAAUCAACCGAGAUUCCCCCAGUAGCGGCGAGCGAACGGGGAGGAGCCCAGAGCCUGAAUCAGUGUGUGUGUUAGUGGAAGCGUCUGGAAAGGCGCGCGAUACAGGGUGACAGCCCCGUACACAAAAAUGCACAUGCUGUGAGCUCGAAGAGUAGGGCGGGACACGUGGUAUCCUGUCUGAAUAUGGGGGGACCAUCCUCCAAGGCUAAAUACUCCUGACUGACCGAUAGUGAACCAGUACCGUGAGGGAAAGGCGAAAAGAACCCCGGCGAGGGGAGUGAAAAAGAACCUGAAACCGUGUACGUACAAGCAGUGGGAGCCCUGAUUUAUCAGGGUGACUGCGUACCUUUUGUAUAAUGGGUCAGCGACUUAUAUUCUGUAGCAAGGUUAACCGAAUAGGGGAGCCGGAGGGAAACCGAGUCUUAACUGGGCGUUAAGUUGCAGGGUAUAGACCCGAAACCCGGUGAUCUAGCCAUGGGCAGGUUGAAGGUUGGGUAACACUAACUGGAGGACCGAACCGACUAAUGUUGAAAAAUUAGCGGAUGACUUGUGGCUGGGGGUGAAAGGCCAAUCAAACCGGGAGAUAGCUGGUUCUCCCCGAAAGCUAUUUAGGUAGCGCCUCGUGAAUUCAUCUCCGGGGGUAGAGCACUGUUUCGGCAAGGGGGUCAUCCCGACUUACCAACCCGAUGCAAACUGCGAAUACCGGAGAAUGUUAUCACGGGAGACACACGGCGGGUGCUAACGUCCGUCGUGAAGAGGGAAACAACCCAGACCGCCAGCUAAGGUCCCAAAGUCAUGGUUAAGUGGGAAACGAUGUGGGAAGGCCCAGACAGCCAGGAUGUUGGCUUAGAAGCAGCCAUCAUUUAAAGAAAGCGUAAUAGCUCACUGGUCGAGUCGGCCUGCGCGGAAGAUGUAACGGGGCUAAACCAUGCACCGAAGCUGCGGCAGCGACGCUGAUGCGUUGUUGGGUAGGGGAGCGUUCUGUAAGCCUGUGAAGGUGUGCUGUGAGGCAUGCUGGAGGUAUCAGAAGUGCGAAUGCUGACAUAAGUAACGAUAAAGCGGGUGAAAAGCCCGCUCGCCGGAAGACCAAGGGUUCCUGUCCAACGUUAAUCGGGGCAGGGUGAGUCGACCCCUAAGGCGAGGCCGAAAGGCGUAGUCGAUGGGAAACAGGUUAAUAUUCCUGUACUUGGUGUUACUGCGAAGGGGGGACGGAGAAGGCUAUGUUGGCCGGGCGACGGUUGUCCCGGUUUAAGCGUGUAGGCUGGUUUUCCAGGCAAAUCCGGAAAAUCAAGGCUGAGGCGUGAUGACGAGGCACUACGGUGCUGAAGCAACAAAUGCCCUGCUUCCAGGAAAAGCCUCUAAGCAUCAGGUAACAUCAAAUCGUACCCCAAACCGACACAGGUGGUCAGGUAGAGAAUACCAAGGCGCUUGAGAGAACUCGGGUGAAGGAACUAGGCAAAAUGGUGCCGUAACUUCGGGAGAAGGCACGCUGAUAUGUAGGUGAAGCGACUUGCUCGUGGAGCUGAAAUCAGUCGAAGAUACCAGCUGGCUGCAACUGUUUAUUAAAAACACAGCACUGUGCAAACACGAAAGUGGACGUAUACGGUGUGACGCCUGCCCGGUGCCGGAAGGUUAAUUGAUGGGGUCAGCGCAAGCGAAGCUCUUGAUCGAAGCCCCGGUAAACGGCGGCCGUAACUAUAACGGUCCUAAGGUAGCGAAAUUCCUUGUCGGGUAAGUUCCGACCUGCACGAAUGGCGUAAUGAUGGCCAGGCUGUCUCCACCCGAGACUCAGUGAAAUUGAACUCGCUGUGAAGAUGCAGUGUACCCGCGGCAAGACGGAAAGACCCCGUGAACCUUUACUAUAGCUUGACACUGAACACUGGUCCUUGAUGUGUAGGAUAGGUGGGAGGCUUUGAAGUGUGGACGCCAGUCUGCAUGGAGCCGUCCUUGAAAUACCACCCUUUAAUGGCUGGUGUUCUAACGUUGGCCCCUUACCGGGGUUGCGGACAGUGUCUGGUGGGUAGUUUGACUGGGGCGGUCUCCUCCUAAAGAGUAACGGAGGAGCACGAAGGUUGGCUAAUCCUGGUCGGACAUCAGGAGGUUAGUGCAAUGGCAUAAGCCAGCUUGACUGCGAGCGUGACGGCGCGAGCAGGUGCGAAAGCAGGUCAUAGUGAUCCGGUGGUUCUGAAUGGAAGGGCCAUCGCUCAACGGAUAAAAGGUACUCCGGGGAUAACAGGCUGAUACCGCCCAAGAGUUCAUAUCGACGGCGGUGUUUGGCACCUCGAUGUCGGCUCAUCACAUCCUGGGGCUGAAGUAGGUCCCAAGGGUAUGGCUGUUCGCCAUUUAAAGUGGUACGCGAGCUGGGUUUAGAACGUCGUGAGACAGUUCGGUCCCUAUCUGCCGUGGGCGCUGGAGAACUGAGGGGGGCUGCUCCUAGUACGAGAGGACCGGAGUGGACGCAUCACUGGUGUUCGGGUUGUCAUGCCAAUGGCACUGCCCGGUAGCUAAAUGCGGAAGAGAUAAGUGCUGAAAGCAUCUAAGCACGAAACUUGCCCCGAGAUGAGUUCUCCCUGAGACUUUAAGUCUCCUGAAGGAACGUUGAAGACGACGACGUUGAUAGGCCGGGUGUGUAAGCGCAGCGAUGCGUUGAGCUAACCGGUACUAAUGAACCGUGAGGCUUAACC